CCUACGGGAGGCAGCAGUGAGGAAUAUUGGUCAAUGGGCGAGAGCCUGAACCAGCCAAGUCGCGUGAGGGAGUACUGCCCUAUGGGUUGUAAACCUCUUUUGUCGGGGAGCAAAAGCCGGACGUGUCCGGCUGUGAGAGUAACCGAAGAAAAAGCAUCGGCUAACUCCGUGCCAGCAGCCGCGGUAAUACGGAGGAUGCGAGGGUUAUCCGGAUUUAUUGGGGUUAAAGGGUGCGCAGGCGGAUUUUUAAGUCAGCGGUCAAAUCGUGGGGCUCAACCCCAUCCAGCCGUUGAAACUGGGGAUCUAGAGUGUGCGAGAGGUAUGCGGAAUGCGUGGUGUAGCGGUGAAAUGCAUAGAUAUCACGCAGAACCCCGAUUGCGAAGGCAGCAUACCGGUGCACAACUGACGCUCAGGCACGAAAGCGUGGGUAUCGAACAGGAUUAGAUACCCGAGUAGUC
RNAcentral lists this ribosomal RNA (458 nucleotides) under uncultured bacterium. RNAcentral describes it as "partial 16S ribosomal RNA". It matches the Rfam family "Bacterial small subunit ribosomal RNA", at positions 338 to 795 of the family's 1533-position model. The record is from RNAcentral.